UCCCUGGUGGUCCAGUGGUUAAGACUCUGAGCUCCCAAUGCAGCAGGCCCAGGUUUGAUCCCUGGCCAAGAAA
This 73-nucleotide transfer RNA is filed under the name Ovis aries (sheep). It matches the Rfam family "tRNA". From Rfam's summary of the family: Transfer RNA (tRNA) molecules are approximately 80 nucleotides in length. The record is from Rfam by way of RNAcentral. Lineage: Eukaryota; Metazoa; Chordata; Mammalia; Artiodactyla; Bovidae.